UACGGGGGGAGCAAGCGUUGUCCGGAUUUAUUGGGCGUAAAGAGCUCGUAGGCGGUUUGGUAAGUCAGGUGUGAAAUCUCCACGCUCAACGUGGAGGGGCCACCUGAUACUGCCAUGACUGGAGUCCGGUAGAGGAGUGUGGAAUUCCCGGUGUAGCGGUGAAAUGCGCAGAUAUCGAGAGGAACACCAGUGGCGAAGGCGAGUCCCUGGACAACGACUGACACUGAGGCACGAAAGCUAGGGGAGCAAACAGG
Molecule: ribosomal RNA, 254 nt
Filed under: uncultured bacterium
Lineage: Bacteria
Description: partial 16S ribosomal RNA
Rfam family: Bacterial small subunit ribosomal RNA
Source: RNAcentral